This 1065-nucleotide long non-coding RNA is filed under the name Equus caballus (horse). RNAcentral's name for it is "lncRNA (ENSECAG00000046507.1)". The record is from RNAcentral. Lineage: Eukaryota; Metazoa; Chordata; Mammalia; Perissodactyla; Equidae.
GUUUGAACGGAUAUGUAAACUGAUGAAAAGUGAUUCUAGGAGUCUAGAAUGGCUUGAUCAAUGCGUAAGUGCUUUGCAAAUAUUUUUCAUAAAAAAUCUUUUCAACCACAUUUUUUUGCAUAGACUAGUAGUUUGAACGGAUAUGUAAACUGAUGAAAAGUGAUUCUAGGAGUCUAGAAUGGCUUGAUCAAUGCGUAAGUGCUUUGCAAAUAUUUUUCAUAAAAAAUCUUUUCAACCACAUUUUUUUGCAUAGUCAUUUGUGAAGUGCCAUUGGGUUGGCUGCAAGUAUGUGAAAUUAGUCAGAUAGAUGGGGCUCAAAAGAAACACAACACUUAUAUUGGAUGGAGGAAUAAAAUAGUUGGGAAAGAAAUAACUAAUUGUACAGAAACACCAAUUUCCUGAAAUUUGAGCUAAUAAUGGUUGAUAUUUAUUUUGCAGGGCCAGACAUACUCUUAAAUGUUUUUGCCUGUAUUAAAUAGAUUAAUAUUCACAAUAACUCUGUAAAUUAGGCACUGUCAUUUUUCCAAUUUAAAGAAGAAGAAACUAAAGUCUGAAUGAUUUAGUAACUUGGUCAGUGUUCUAUAGCUUGGCAGAGUAAGGAUUAGAACAAAUUUAAGGCCUAUAGACUUAUAGCCUGGUUUAAAAAUAUCUAUGCUCUAUUGUCCCUAUAAUUUAAAUUUCUGAAGUGCUUCUUAAGGGAAAGUGCUAUAUCGUCUUGUUUUUGAAGGCAAAAUAACAAUAUACAUUAAAAUUUCAUUUUUUAUAUCUACUCCAAAAAUAUUUAUUUUCUGGAACCAUUUAUGACUUUGAUAAUUGUUGCAACAAUUUCACGUGUAGAGUUCUUACUGCUUAACUUUAUUCAUAUCAACAGAUUAUUUUUCUGUUUCCCUGUGUGGGAAUUGCACACAAGUUGAUAUUCUACACUGAUAAAACAUUUUUAACGGAGGCUGAUAAUUCCUACUGGAAUUAGCCUCAAGUAAAGUUUUGCUUUUUGAUAACUUCACAUCAAACUGAUUAGAAGAAUUUGAAGAAUAAUUACCGUAAAGCAUUUAUUUCCAAAAUCAU